GACGAACGCUGGCGGCGUGCCUAACACAUGCAAGUCGAACGGGGUAAAGGGAGCUUGCUUCCUUUGCUUAGUGGCGAACGGGUGAGUAACGCGUGAGGAACCUGCCUUUCAGUGGGGGACAACAGUUGGAAACGACUGCUAAUACCGCAUAAUAUAGUCGGACCGCAUGAUCUGACUAUCAAAGCUUUAUGUGCUGAAAGAUGGCCUCGCGUCUGAUUAGCUAGUUGGUGGGGUAACGGCCCACCAAGGCGACGAUCAGUAGCCGGUCUGAGAGGAUGAACGGCCACAUUGGGACUGAGAUACGGCCCAGACUCCUACGGGAGGCAGCAGUGGGGAAUAUUGGGCAAUGGGGGGAAACCCUGACCCAGCAACGCCGCGUGAAGGAAGAAGGCCUUCGGUGUAAACCUCUGUUGACAGGGACGAAGUAUGACGGUACCUGUCGAGGAAGCCACGGCUAACUACGUG
RNAcentral lists this ribosomal RNA (465 nucleotides) under uncultured bacterium. RNAcentral's name for it is "bacterial SSU rRNA". It matches the Rfam family "Bacterial small subunit ribosomal RNA", at positions 28 to 507 of the family's 1533-position model. The record is from RNAcentral.